This 3905-nucleotide unclassified non-coding RNA is filed under the name Hevea brasiliensis (rubber tree). The record is from RNAcentral. Lineage: Eukaryota; Viridiplantae; Streptophyta; Magnoliopsida; Malpighiales; Euphorbiaceae.
AAAAAAAAAAACACAUAAAUCAGCUUAACUCACCCUAAACAUCGAUGCUAAACAAUUUGUUUAUUCAUAUACAUUAACAAAUUUUGAGUAAUAAAAGAGGGGAAAAAAAUGAUGUUAACAUGGAAUAAGGUAGGUACAACAUAAUUUAGCUUGAUGACGUCUCAAUGACUGGUCGACGCAAACCAGAAUAAACUGCUUUCACGAAAAGAGGAUGCGCAUUUUCAGAAAAUACCUCUGCAUCUAACUUCUCUAUGUGAGGCCAUAUCUCCGAAGCAUAUUGCCUUGAGAAGGCCUUGACAUAGCCUAGAGUUGACAAACACCACUGUUCCUUGUCACCUACUUUAUAGACAUUACUUGCCUUCUCACCAUUGGACUGACUUUUUUUGGGUCUUCCAUUCUCAUUAUCCACUUCCAUUUCAGAUGAUUCAUCAAGGUCAACAAUCAUUUCAUCUGCUUGAAUUGAUUUCAAUGCCCCCAAGGUUUGAGCUUUAGAUGCAUCAGGCAGGCGUUCCAUUAGCACAUUUGAGAAGUUUUUGUAUAAUGAGAGGAACAAUGCCUCAUUUUCAUCAAGGGCUCGAGCAAGCAGAGCCUCCUUGGCCUCCAAAGAAUCACGCACGGAUAUCUCCUCUUCUUUUGUUUUUUCAGCAUUUGAUUUUAUGGGCUUCAUCUUUGCAGGAUUUUCACCAAGCACAGGUUCACCAUCCACCAGAGUGAGCUUUGAUUCAGCAGCAUCUAACUCAGCUUUAGCCUUGGCUGCAGCGUCUUCUGCUGAUACAACACUCUUCUUGAGAGUCAAGAUCUCUUUCCUUAAAUCAGAUAUGCGAUUGUAAGUCUUACUGAUGGCAUUUCUAAGAACCUCCCAUGGAUGAUCAGAUAUAUGAAAUUGCUCAGUGUUUGCUGGAGAGAAGACCCAUCUCAGAAUAGCUAAAUUAGAUAUAAGCCGAUAACCCAUCAUUCUGUCAAUUGUAAUAGCUGUCAUUUGGGCAUUGUUCUUCCAAUAGGAACUCACUUCAGCUAUCAGCAUGAUCUGCUUAUCUUGAUCAUGACAUAUACGUGCAAUGACUUGGCCAUAUCUCUCCAAAACAGUAAUUAAAUGAGUGAAACUUUUAGACCCGAUGUCAAUAAGAGUUUGCACAACCACUGUAAGUGCAGCUUCCAAACCAUGAUGGGGAAACACACUUUCUUCUACCCAUGAGAUGAUUUCUCGGGCAGUUUGCCUUCCCUUAACCUUGAUGAUGAGUUCUGCAGAAAGUGCAUGUUGUUCAGUUCUUUCUUUGCCUUCUUCCAAACUGUAUUUGAAGUUUGGACCACCCUUUGGUGGAAGCAACUCCUCUAAAGCAGGUGCAUUCUCAAUGCUCUGCUUAACUUUGUCCCAGUAUGAUAGACGAACUUCUCUCUCCAAAACCUCUUGAACAAACACACGCUGUGGAGCCCACUUAGGAAGGUCUAAGACAUAAGCCCAUUCUUCCCAUGGCCAAAUGAAUUGAAAGUUUGACAGAUGGUGUGAAAACCAAAGGAUGAGCCGUGUUCGACACUCCAUAUCUAAAUCAGCUAUUUUCUCAAAAAGUGCACGAACUGCACCUGCAACAACUGCAGGAAAAGCCCCUGGAAGAGCCUUACAGAGAUCCAUAAUAACCAGUGUAUAAUAUAUUGGCUUGAAUGGGGGUUGAGGUAACAAAAGUAACUGAGAAAAUAUAGUCUCCGCCAUAAGAUACUCAUAUCGGAAGGGCACAGGCAGGCCAACCAUGCAUGAAGCACAUUCCUUUCGACUAGCUUUGCACGAACCAAGGAAAAAAAAUAACUAUAAAAGCUAAAAUCCAGAAAAGAUUCAACAGAACUGAGGUUGAUGGGCAUGGCUUAACAACAUAAAUGAAAUAGAAGCCAAAGAAAAAGAAAAACAACAUUAAGUUGAUUCAGUGCAUUCAACCACAAGAAAGCCUAAUCAUUCUAAUAUUAAUUAAAGAAACUAAAGCACAGAGUAUAAAUAAUGCAGUAGUGAUGGGUUAUCGUAUUACAAACCAGCCAUUGAGGAACAAAAGCACAUCCAAUAAAUACUCUUCCAUGAUGAAACGAUCUAUAGGUUCCAUAUCCUGUUAACAAAACAAAAGAAUGAAUAGGAACAAAUACAGAUUAAAAGAAUAACAAAAUACCAAGGGACCAAAUACCAAUCAAUGCCGAGAGAUAAAAACCAUAAAAAAUGUGCAGAAAAGGAAAGAGAGAUGCUUUGGUUUGGGAAAUAAAAAAAAAAUGAAACAAUGAAUUUUUCACCAGCAGCCAACAUAUUCAACUGUCCUCAAUUGCAGGAAGAGAAGAGCUGAUAUAUUAAAGGGAGAAGGGGGUUGGGGAGAGAAAUUAUUCUAGAAUUUGUACUUCACGAAUUAGAAAACAUACUAUAGCAUGGAGGACGAAGCCAAUGGCUUAGCUAAUGUUACUGGAGAUGAAGUUCAGAACAAAGACUUAAAGACUCAUCAAUGGAUGUCAGGCCUCACAAAAAGCCACCUUCACUCUUCGCUCAAUAAUCACACCAACAUUUUGAGAAAAAUGUCCAAUUAAACAAAUAAAAAGAAAGAUACCAAAGUACAGGAGAGGUUAAAGUUUAACAAAGGACAAGUCCAUUUCCCAUCAGGAGGUCAUCCCUAUAAUUUCAUGACAUCAAAUUAAUUAAUUUACAAUGAAAAGUCAUGGGAAUUAAGAAAAGGUUUGAUAGAAAUCUAAAUUUCAUACACAAUAACAGUUCAUAUAUGACAAAACCCAUAGGUUCAGAAAAAAUAAGAUUGCGUACAACAGUUAUAAACAUGACGAAAGAAAUUGUCCGUCCACCGGCACUCAAUAAGAGCAUCAACAAUCGAAGUAGCAAACUACCUCAGUUUUACUUGCAGGAAAUAUAUUAAGCCUGUGUAUCCGCUGACAGUAUUUUAACUCUGCAUGGUGCUUCUGUUUACCAUAUAGUACCCCAGCAAGUUGUGAAAGGGGCUCCGGUUGGUCUGGAGCAUUGAUGGGCCCAAAUUCAUGAGACUUUCCAGCAACCAGCUGAGCUUCGAAUGGGAGGUGAGGUCGCGGAACACUAUCAACCUUCCAUCCAUUGCUGGAUAGAACCUGUAUCCUAUCCCAUAAAUCUUCCAAGAAGUCCUUUUCAGAAGCAUCUUUCCCAGAUUCAUCAUCGUACUCCUCAAAAAAAGAUAAACCAGUGUCAGAAUUAUGUCUUCUAAUGCUCAAAUAGGCUUCUAUUCCAACCAUUACUCUUUCAAUCUCGUCAGGAACUUGCUCAAAGAAUUCUGAACCUCCCCAUGGAAGACAGGAUAAAAUGCAAGCUACAUAAAAGUCUCCACGUGCUUGCCAGGAAGGAUUCCCUUUCUCCUCAUCCACUGUAGUGGCAGCAGAUGACAACAAGGUUUCAAAGACAACCACCAAAGAAACCGGUUGGAGAACUUUGCUGCACAUCAUUGAAGUCAGAAGGCGCAUCAAAAUACGAAUCCUAUCACAACUUUCAGAAUCCAAGGCAUCCUGGAAAUUAAUUUGAAUAUUCUCAACUAUUUUCCUGCCAACAUCCUCAUUUUCCAAGUUCAAUAGACCAACCACUGUCCCAUACAAAGGAAUCUUGUGAGGCAAUUGUUCCGCACAUUGAAGAAGGAAAUCUAUAAUAUCGUUUGCAGAGUGCUCCAACUCUCGACGAAGAACACCAAAACACGUUUCAAUGUGUUCUUUGAAGUCGGAGCUGGUGCCAUACUCAGGGCACUUGUCGCCUAUUCGAAGAAUAAGACUUCUCCAGCUGCUCAUUCUUCUUCAAAUUAACUGAUUGUUCCCACAGAGCACUUACAAGUAGAAGAAAGGAAGUGGAGGGAUUUCUAGGGUUUAAUGGCCGUAGGCCCGUAAUAGAAACAUUGUCGACAUGAACUAAAGGAGGC